GUUCGGAAGGGAUAACCGCUGAAGGCAUCUAAGCGGGAAGCCUGUUCCUAGAUGAGGUCUCCCACCCCUUUGUGGGUUAAGGCUCCCAGUAGACCACUGGGUUGAUAGGCCAGACAUGGACGCACGGUAACGUGUUUUUGAGUGGACUGGUACUAAUCGGCCGAGGACUUGCCCACAA
Molecule: ribosomal RNA, 178 nt
Filed under: Prauserella endophytica
Lineage: Bacteria; Bacillati; Actinomycetota; Actinomycetes; Pseudonocardiales; Pseudonocardiaceae
Description: partial 23S ribosomal RNA
Rfam family: Bacterial large subunit ribosomal RNA
Source: RNAcentral